UUCGCAAUGCCCGAAAGGGUGACGAAGCGACGCCGCGUGAGUGAAGAAGGCCCUCGGGUUGUAAAACCCUGUCAGGAGUUAAGAAAUGUAGGUGCGCUAAUAUCGCAUUUAUUUGACGAAGGCUCCAAAGGAAGCCACGGCUAACUCUGUGCCAGCAGCCGCGGUAAUACAGAGGUGGCAAGCGUUGUUCGGAAUUAUUGGGCGUAAGGAGCACGUAGGUGGGUUUGCAAGUCAGAUGUGAAAGCCUUCUGUUCAACGGAAGAAUUGCAUCUGAAACUGCAAGUCUUGAGUGUAGGAGGGGAGAAUGGAACUUCUGGUGGAGCGGUGAAAUGCGUAGAUAUCAGAAGGAACGCCGGCGGCGAAAGCGAUUCUCUGGCCUAUUACUGACACUCAGUGUGCGAAAGCUAGGGGAGCAAACGGGAUUAGAUACCCCGGUAGUCCUAGCCGUAAACGAUGGGCACUAAGUAGAGGGGUUUU
RNAcentral lists this ribosomal RNA (477 nucleotides) under Candidatus Scalindua marina (nom. nud.). RNAcentral's name for it is "bacterial SSU rRNA". It matches the Rfam family "Bacterial small subunit ribosomal RNA", at positions 365 to 832 of the family's 1533-position model. The record is from RNAcentral. Lineage: Bacteria; Pseudomonadati; Planctomycetota; Candidatus Brocadiia; Candidatus Brocadiales; Candidatus Scalinduaceae.